AAAAAUAUUUUUAUUUUUUAUUUUUUAAUAAUAUUAUUUAAUUUUUAUUAUAAAAAUUAAAAUUUUCUUUUUGUAUAAAGAUAAAAAGAUUAAGUAAUUUUUAUUAAUUCUCUUAAUUAAAGAUUUAAUUGAAUAUUUUUUAUGUGGAAUAAUUUAAUAUUUGAUUAUAUGUUAUAUGCUUAGCUUUAUUUAAUAUAGUUUAUAGUUGUUUAUUUAGUGGAUUAGCUUUAAUUUUUUAAGAAUUUUUAUAUAUUUUUUAAAUAUUUUUAAUAAUAAUUUUAAUUUUUUAUAAUAAAUAUACAUAUAUAUACAAUUAUUAUUCUUUAUUAUUAUAAAUUUUUAAAUAUAUUAAAUAAUUUUUUUAUUAGUAUUAAUUUUAGUGAAUAUUAAUAGUUAUUAUUUUAUUGUUAUAAUAUAAUUAUUUUAAUUAAAAUAAUUAUUAAUUAUUUAUCAAAAUUUAAUUAUUUUUAUUAAAUAUCAUUUCUGCUCAAUGAAUUUUAAAUAGCUGCGGUGUAAUAACUGUUCUAAGGUAGCGAAAUAAUUUGUUUUUUAAUUGGAAACUUGUAUAAAUGGAAAUUUAAUAGUUAUUUUUUAUUUUUUUUAUUAAUAAUUUUAUUAUUAAUUGAAAAAUAUUAUAAAAUUUUAAAGACGAGAAGACCCUAAAAAUUUUAUUAAUUUUAUUUUAAUAUUUUUUUAUUUAUUAAAUAAUAUAUUUGAUUUUAUUGGGGUAAUAUUUUAAUAUUAUAAUUUAAAAAUAAUUAUUUUUUAUCUAGUUAUAUUAUUAUUUAAUUACUUUAGGGAUAACAGUGUUAUUUAUUUUUUUAUUUAUAUAAAAAUUAGUUUGCUACCUCGAUGUUGGUUUUUUAUGGCUUUUAGGGGCAGUAUUUUAAUAAGCUAGUCUGUUCGACUAUUAAAUUAAAACUUGAACUGAGUUCAAAUCGGCGUGAGCCAGAUUGGUUUUUAUCUUAAGAUUAUUUUAAAAUUUAUUAGUACGAAAGGA
This 1000-nucleotide ribosomal RNA is filed under the name Riccardoella reaumuri. RNAcentral's name for it is "large subunit ribosomal RNA". Lineage: Eukaryota; Metazoa; Arthropoda; Arachnida; Trombidiformes; Ereynetidae. The record is from RNAcentral.